Molecule: ribosomal RNA, 435 nt
Filed under: uncultured bacterium
Lineage: Bacteria
Description: partial 16S ribosomal RNA
Rfam family: Bacterial small subunit ribosomal RNA
Source: RNAcentral
AACGAACGCUGGCGGCAUGCCUAACACAUGCAAGUCGAACGAUUGCCUUCGGGUGAUAGUGGCGCACGGGUGCGUAACGCGUGGGAAUCUGCCCUUAGGUUCGGAAUAACAGCUGGAGACGGCUGCUAAUACCGGAUGAUAUCGCGAGAUCAAAGAUUUAUCGCCUGAGGAUGAGCCCGCGUUGGAUUAGGUAGUUGGUGGGGUAAAGGCCUACCAAGCCGACGAUCCAUAGCUGGUCUGAGAGGAUGAUCAGCCACACUGGGACUGAGACACGGCCCAGACUCCUACGGGAGGCAGCAGUGGGGAAUAUUGGACAAUGGGCGCAAGCCUGAUCCAGCAAUGCCGCGUGAGUGAUGAAGGCCCUAGGGUUGUAAAGCUCUUUUACCCGGGAAGAUAAUGACUGUACCGGGAGAAUAAGCCCCGGCUAACUCCGUG